UAGAAAGCGAGUUUGGUUUGCGUGGUCU
This 28-nucleotide non-coding RNA is filed under the name Mus musculus (house mouse). The record is from RNAcentral. Lineage: Eukaryota; Metazoa; Chordata; Mammalia; Rodentia; Muridae.